Molecule: ribosomal RNA, 807 nt
Filed under: uncultured bacterium
Lineage: Bacteria
Description: bacterial SSU rRNA
Rfam family: Bacterial small subunit ribosomal RNA
Source: RNAcentral
AGAGUUUGAUCCUGGCUCAGAACGAACGCUGGCGGCGGGGCUUAGGCAUGCAAGUCGCGCGAGAAAGCCGCAAGGCGAGUACAGCGGCGCAAGGGUGAGUAACAGGUAGUCAACGUACCCAUCUGACGCGGAUAAUUCUCCGAAAGGGGUUGUAAUACGCGAUGAGACCACGGGCUCUUUGGAGCUAGGGGUCAAAGGUCGGGGAUCCUUCGGGACCUGGCGCUGAUGGAGCGGACGACCUCCGAUUAGCUAGUUGGCGGGGUAACGGCCCACCAAGGCGAUGAUCGGUAGCCGGCCUGAGAGGGUGUUCGGCCACACUGGGACUGAGACACUGCCCAGACUCCUACGGGAGGCUGCAGUCGCGAAUCAUUCACAAUGGGCGCAAGCCUGAUGAUGCCACGCCGCGUGCGGGAUGAAGGCCCUUUGGGUUGUAAACCGCUGUCAAGAGGGGGGAACCGUAUGGUGUUAACAGCGCCAUGCCUGACUGCCCACUAAAGGAAGCCCCGGCAAAACAUGUGCCAGCAGCCGCGGUAAUACAUGUGGGGCAAGCGUUGUUCGGAAUUACUGGGCAUAAAGGGUGCGUAGGUGGCUUGUUAAGUCAGGGGUGAAAGUUUUCGGCCCAACCGGAAAAUUGCCUUUGAUACUGGCGAGCUGGAGUGCGUGAGGGGUAACCGGAACGAGCAGUGUAGCGGUGAAAUGCGUAGAUAUUGCUCGGAAGGCCAACGGCGAAGGCAGGUUACUGGUGCGCAACUGACACUGAGGCACGAAAGCGUGGGGAGCAAACAGGAUUAGAUACCCUAGUAGUCC